Fukomys damarensis (Damara mole-rat) is the source of this 1632-nucleotide long non-coding RNA. RefSeq lists it as uncharacterized. NCBI's taxonomy places the organism in Eukaryota, Metazoa, Chordata, Mammalia, Rodentia, Bathyergidae. The transcript is spliced from 3 exons. The record is from RefSeq and is a predicted model, not a curated record.
GCCCCCACAUUCAGCCUGCUAUUUGCGCAUUUUAAGAGAUCUCCUAAAAAGCUCAGAGGUGGAAUUGGCUGCCUUCUCUCUGUCCCCUGUUAGCAGCAGGCCACUGCUCACUGAAUAACUAGGACCUUUUUCUGGUGCUCAAGCAUCCCUUACCCCCCCGGGGGGAGUGUUGGGGCCACGGCCAGCUUCUCCCAGUCCUGUCAGGGCUUCGGGCUCUCCAGCAGACCCGACACAGGCACCAUCACUACAUGAGUGGGCCUCUGCCCACCUGGGCCUCACUGCCACCCUCGCUGUGGUUCAGAUCUAAAAUGUCCCCCAAGUCUGUGUGUGGAAGGUGCCUGGAUCACCAGGGGACUCAUCCACAGAUGGGUUAGUUCACGGCUGAGCGUGCUGUUAGGAGGCAGGGCCUGACCCUGGGGUGCAUUUUGUCCCUGGCUCUGCCCUUCUCUCUGCAUCCUGGUCGCCAUGAGGUGAGGACAUUUCCCCCUCAGGCCCUUCCGCCAUGCUGAGCCAGCAGACCACGGACUGUACCCGCUGAACACUGAGCCGAACACACCUCUUCUCCUUUAAGCUGUGGGUGUUGGGAGUUUUGUCCCAGCAAUGGGAAAGUGACGAAGACACCAGCUCUCAAGGCCUCCGGUGCCCUGGUGUGUGAGAGGGAAUGAAACGCGUAUGGCUUACAAACACUCCGUAGCUUAAAAUGGAGCUAUCUCCUGUUUAAACCCAUUAUCAGGUCAAAAUAUCCUAAAUUGAAAACACAUUUGAUGCACCUACCCUGUAGUGCCCUUAGCUCAGCAACGCAGUGAAGAGUAUUUUGGUGGUUUCCUCUUGGGGUCCUGAGGCUGGUAGGAAAGGGAGCGGUGUCUGGUGGCUGCUGCUGAUUAGAUCCAGGAACUUUCAAUCUUACUAUUAAGGACACAUCCGCCGUCUCCAGCUCUGGGUGACUCACCAGCCGCCCCAGCGGGCCAACUGCCCUCCCUUCAUGAGUUCUGACUCAUCCUCCUGUGUCCUUGCUAAGGUGGGACAGUGAUGGGAUUUCAACAGGCGAAAGCUGGGAGUGGUGACUAACUGGACUGUGAACAGAGAGACACGAGUGUGCGGGGACCGUGGAGGAGCGGGAUUCUGAACAUUUACAAUCCCAAGAAACGUGAAUAGGACUCCGUCGUUAUCCCGGCUUCAUAGACGGGGAGCUGGGAACUCGGGGCCCAUGGGACACACAGCCAAACUCAGUCAGAACACGAGGCCGGGCAGCCACACCUGGCGGAAAUGUGGUCUGCUUCUCACUGUGAGUCACGGUCACUGGAAGGGAACCAGGUAGCACCAGGGCCAGGAUGCUGGCCAUGAGAGGGGGGGGGCGUGACCCCGCAGGGCCACUGUGAUGUGACUCCGUGACAGUGGGCGUCCAGGGCCACUUCCUGCUUUCUUCCUGGGGAGCCCGGGACUGGCUGGCCCAAGUUUUCUCCGGAAAAUGUUCCUCCCCUCUCACCACCUACAGGGCUGGAUGUGACAGUCACCAUCUCCAGGGCCCACAGGAGGACUCUUAUGAGUCCAACGCCAGCCUGAACUCAUAGCGAGACCCUGUCCCAAAUAAAUAAAUAAAUUCAAAUACAUAAUUUCAAAUAAAUCUAACAC